Molecule: ribosomal RNA, 453 nt
Filed under: uncultured Bacteroides sp.
Lineage: Bacteria; Pseudomonadati; Bacteroidota; Bacteroidia; Bacteroidales; Bacteroidaceae
Description: partial 16S ribosomal RNA
Rfam family: Bacterial small subunit ribosomal RNA
Source: RNAcentral
ACGGGAGGCAGCAGUGAGGAAUAUUGGUCAAUGGACGGAAGUCUGAACCAGCCAAGUCGCGUGAAGGAUGAAGGUAUUAUGUAUUGUAAACUUCUUUAGCAGUGGAGUAAUAAGGGGAUCGCGAUCCCUGAUGCAAGUACACUGAGAAUAAGGAUCGGCUAACUCCGUGCCAGCAGCCGCGGUAAUACGGAGGAUCCGAGCGUUAUCCGGAUUUAUUGGGUUUAAAGGGAGCGUAGGCGGGCCUUUAAGUCAGUGGUCAAAGCGUGUGGCUCAACCAUACCACGCCGUUGAUACUGGAGGCCUUGAGUGCACAUAAGGAUGGUGGAAUUCAUGGUGUAGCGGUGAAAUGCUUAGAUAUCAUGAAGAACUCCGAUUGCGAAGGCAGCUGUCCGGGGUGUAACUGACGCUAAUGCUCGAAAGUGCGGGUAUCAAACAGGAUUAGAUACCCUGGUA